This 208-nucleotide unclassified non-coding RNA is filed under the name Hevea brasiliensis (rubber tree). The record is from RNAcentral. Lineage: Eukaryota; Viridiplantae; Streptophyta; Magnoliopsida; Malpighiales; Euphorbiaceae.
UCUACUGAAGUUUUGCAAGUGGAGCAAGAAUCUUUUGCCUGUGAUGUUGAUUUCCCCCCAGGGUUUGAGGAGAAGAACUUGACAGCGGAUUUGCCUUUAGUUUUGCCAUCAAAAGAUUGCACCGUGGAGCUCUCUACUGAAGUUCUGCAAGUGGAGCAAGAAUCGUUUGGCUGUUAUCUUGAUUUCCCUCCAGGGUUUGAGGAGAAGA